AGCGAACGCUGGCGGCGUGCCUAACACAUGCAAGUCGAGCGCGGGCAUUUCGGGGGUAACCCCGGGACUGUGCUGAGCGGCGGACGAGUGAGUAAUACGUGGACAACCUGCCUUAAAGCUUGGGAUAACUCCGGGAAACGUGGAGCUAAUACCGGAUAAGACCACGGUGUCUAUGGAUGCUGAGGUAAAAGGCGGCCAGGAAACUGGCUGUUGCUUAAAGAUGGGUCCACGUCCCANCAGGUAGUUGGUGAGGUAAAGGCUCACCAAGCCAAAGACGGGUAGCUGGCCUUAGCGGGUGGUCAGCCACACGGGGACUGAGACACGGCCCCGGACUCCUACGGGAGGCAGCAGUGGGGAAUAUUGGGCAAUGGGCGAAAGCCUG
This 382-nucleotide ribosomal RNA is filed under the name uncultured bacterium. RNAcentral describes it as "bacterial SSU rRNA". It matches the Rfam family "Bacterial small subunit ribosomal RNA", at positions 29 to 385 of the family's 1533-position model. The record is from RNAcentral.